CUUCCUGAAAACGCAUCAGCACUCACCCAACAUGGGCUGGAAGAUACCAGCCGUGGGCUCCCUCUCCUCUCUGUGGGACGUGGUAGCUCUGCAGCAGGCUUUGUGGUGUUUCCAGAAGGCUCCAGAAAUCAGAAAUCUGUCACCAGCUUUGGCCAGUAAGACCCUGUACUUGAAAUGGAAAAGGCUACGCUGAGCCCCACCGCUCACCACCUUCUCAGCAGUGCCAGGACAACCACAGGCAGUAAUCUGUCUCAGUGGAAGGCUGAGGCUGAAAAUUAAUCUGCAUACAAAAAGGAACUGGCUAAGAGCUGCAGUGGGUUAAGAAACAAUCCAAGCUCCCAGAUCACUGAAAGACUUUUCUGGCCAACCAAGGGUGAAGUCCUACAGGUAAUACCGGGACCGUGCUAAGGCAACCGUUUCAGACCAGCCUGAAAAGGCAUUCCUCAUGACCUUUAAGUGCAUAUUUUCCAUUGGCUUUGUUCAGAUUGGUGCUGCCAGUUUGUGGUGAAACAGGAAAGAGAGCCUUCUUCCAAAAAUGUUGUGAACUUUCUAAAAGAAGUGGAACCUGGUAGCUUUCACAGCUCUCGCUACCACACAGAGUUGCCUUGGGAAGAGUGAAGGUAUGAAUUGGAGAAAGAUGGAACACAUGGAAAAAAAAGAGCAGAGUGGCUGAAAUACCAAAAAAAAAAAAAAGCAUCUAUGCACGUGUAGACCUUUGACUCUGAAAUUUUAAUCUAACUUUCUCCUUCUGAAAGUCAUGAAAUGAGCUUAGGGUACUUGCUGGGGUGGGCUCUGUGAAUUUUUCACUGGAUCUGCCUCUGUCUCUGUAAAUGGAGAAGACAACCAGCUUAAACCAACUGCCCAGUUCAAAGUUGAGAUGAAUCCCUCUUUUUCAUGAAAUCAUGACAUUUUCCUUUCUCUUUAGGAGGGACAUUACAGGAAAGUAAUACUUGUGCUCUGGAAUGACCUCAACUAAGACCCGAUUCAACCCAAAUAUCACAACAGGUUUGGGUCCCAUCUUUCUCAAAGUGAGUAAUGUCUUACAAUACCUCAUCUGUGAGCCAGGAAGCUGAACCAGUAUCUGUUUUCAGUCAGUUCUAGUUCAGGUUCAGCUGUGGAUGGAGUUGUUCCUGUUCGGUUCUUGUUAAACCCAUCAAAACUUUCAGAAAGCAGUUUAGAUUCAAUAUAAGAAAAAAAGUCCUGAAUGAUUUAGACCAAAUUCAGUUCAACAUUCUGUAUUAACAGAAUCUGGAAAGAAGCUGAUCUCCAGCUGGGACCAUAAACACAUACUGAAAUAAAGAGAUUUACUUCUUUCAUUUAUCAUUUAGAAAAGAAUGGGAGCUACACUUGUCCUUGCACGAUUUUACUGGCGCUCGUACAUUGUAUAAUGUAUGCCUGCCAUCCUGACAGAGAUCCAUUCCAGAAAAUAAUCCAUGACCAUUAUGGAUGUGAAUUGCAUUCCUUUUAAAUAAUGAGAAGAGACUGGAGAAAAUCUGAACUACUUUAAGAGAUGACCAAGAGACACUUUUCAAUAGAAUGGAUUUUAUUCUCCUAAUAAGGAGAAGUCAUGUUGUACAAUAACUGUAUCAUCUCAUUCCCUCAGUAAAGUUUAUGAAGAAAAGACUGACACAUUUUUUCUUACUGCUUAUAUAUUAUGCUGAUGCACGUCAGUAGGUAUUAAUUUAGUAAGCUGCUACUUUUGUGCAAAAAUGGAUUGGUAUGAAUAGAGCAAAAACCACCUUAGAGUGAUGUUUUUAGGACUGAUUUGCCCUGGCCUUGCUCUAGUGAUCAGAUGUGGUAUUCAGAUUAAAACAAGAAAAGAGAGCCAGGACAAGGUUUCCAGCUGUUAUUAAUGAAGCAUUUCUGCUUAAUCCCCAUGGAAGGCACAAAAUCAACAUUGUCAUGGUUCUGCU
Cygnus atratus (black swan) is the source of this 1913-nucleotide long non-coding RNA. RefSeq lists it as uncharacterized. The transcript has 4 exons. Lineage: Eukaryota; Metazoa; Chordata; Aves; Anseriformes; Anatidae. The record is from RefSeq and is a predicted model, not a curated record.